GGUACCGCCUGCCCAGUGACUCUUUAAACGGCCGCGGUAUCCUAACCGUGCAAAGGUAGCAUAAUCACUUGUCCCCUAAAUAGGGACUAGAAUGAAUGGCUAAAUGAGGACUAAACUGUCUCUUAUAGGCUGACCAAUGAAAUUGAUUUUCCAGUACAAAAGCUGGAAUAAACACAUAAGACGAGAAGACCCUGUGGAGCUUCAAAACCAAAAGCACCAAAUAUGCUUCCUUGAAUUUUUAGUUGGGGCGACUUCGGAGCACAAAAAAACCUCCGAAACAUGACAAUUAACCUAAUCAAGAUUAACACAUCAAAACAAACACAUGAGACCCAGCAGCCACCAAAUCAACGCUGUCUGACCAAUGAACCAAGUUACCCCAGGGAUAACAGCGCCAUCCCCUUCUAGAGUCCCUAUCGACAAGGGGGUUUACGACCUCGAUGUUGGAUCAGGACACCCCAAUGGUGCAGCCGCCCUUAAAGGUUCGUUUGUUCAACGAUUAAAGUCCUA
RNAcentral lists this ribosomal RNA (507 nucleotides) under Dinarolacerta mosorensis. RNAcentral describes it as "partial 16S ribosomal RNA". It matches the Rfam family "Bacterial large subunit ribosomal RNA", at positions 1851 to 2598 of the family's 2925-position model. Lineage: Eukaryota; Metazoa; Chordata; Lepidosauria; Squamata; Lacertidae. The record is from RNAcentral.